UUGCGAUCCUUGCCCUACGCCACGUGCUGUUCCACGUCGUGGCCCUCUCUCGCCUCCCACGGUGACAACGAUGCCGCGGACCGCCACUUGGCCCCCAUUAUAUCCUUGCUCCACGCGUCCCGCCUCUAGACCUUCUCUGACCGCCCAUUGCUGUCAUUCCUCCGCGCACUCCGGUGGUUCUUGUCCCUCCGCCUUUUCCUCUCUCUCAUGUCCUUCAACUCCCGCCCUUCCACCCGCUCCUUCAACACACUCCUCCAAUCUCUCAUCUACGCAUGUUGCCUCUGCCUCGCCACCGCGCUCUUCUGCGCCACAACAACCAAGCUCUACAUCAUGCCCAACCUCGUCUCCUACAACAUCGUGCUCAUGGACCUUGUCGUCAUCGGUGACUUCUACUCUAUGCUGAAGUGAGUGAAGGCCAGAUGCUACUAUGUACACGGUGCUCAUAGAUGGUAUUGCCACCGUAGGAAGUUGCAAGAUGCAGCAAGGAUCAUGGAUGAGAUGGAAACCGCUGGGGUGCAGCCAAAUGAGGAUUCAUACUCUGUGGUGGUCAAAGCCACUGCAAGGAGGGAAAAUCCACAUAGGCAUGUGAUUUAGCGAGGGAGAUGCUAGAGGCAGGUGAAAGGGAAAUUGCCAUGGAGCCAUUUCUACCUGUUUUGGUGAUCAAGUGUUCAACACACCAUCUUGAACCAUCUUCACAUGAGCAUGAGCACAUGUUUACAUAAAGGCAAGUUGAAGAGAUCAAGUCCAAAUGAGCUAAUCUGGAGGGCCAAAAGUGCAACUUUGGGCAACACAACAUAAACAUGAGGUUUAAGCGUUUGAAUAAGUUGCACACACCCUACUCUAUGUUUCUAGCACUUUGUUUUGGCUACUAAUUGUAAUACCCAAAAUCUAUAAAUAAAAAUAGAGUUAUGCAUGAUGUGGGUA
Molecule: long non-coding RNA, 924 nt
Organism: Zea mays
Lineage: Eukaryota; Viridiplantae; Streptophyta; Magnoliopsida; Poales; Poaceae
Exons: 2
Source: RefSeq, a predicted model, not a curated record